UUUAGUUUUUGUUUGUUUGUCUGUUUGUUUUGUUUUUUGGUCUUGUUUUAUUUGGCCUGCUUGGGUGUGAUUCACAUGUGAAUAUUGCUGCAUCUACUUUUACUGUAACCAUCUAGAAAAAAGUAAUCCUUUUUACUCAGGCUUUUCACUUUGUUUGAAAUUCAGUAGCUCUGUAUGGAUCUGCCUGCACUUUAGGGAAAAAUUAAGUUCCUCAGGAUUCCAGUCUUCUGGAUUGAGCAACUACAGUUCUCACCAGUGUGAAGAUAUCACUGUUGGACUUUUCAUUCUAUAUAGUUUCAAGACAGAAGCAAAAUGACAGCGAGGAUGUCUGAAAAAGAUGUGAAAACCUUGCACCUGAGGACUAGCCCACAUGGUACCAGAAAUUGUCAUUCAAGAUUCCAAAGAAGGGAAGAAGCAAAAUAAGAUUUGAUAAUUCGAAGAAAAACACGUCAUAAUUGAAGGAAUUCUUUCACCUCUGGAAGAGUUUGAAACAUCUUCAUCGUGCCAAAAGCUGAUAAUGGAGCAAAAGCUUAAAACAAAAGUGGCUGAGUUUCUUUUCUGUGGCUGAAAGGUCUAUGCUGGAAAUAACUAGUAGAACUCUCGAGUCAAAGUGUUGCAAUUUCCCCCAAUACUUCAUUUCAUUCUAGAAGAGUGUGUAUGUUUCUGUAUUUGUGUGUAUGCAUGUUUAUGUUUUUU
Long non-coding RNA from Mus musculus (house mouse), 696 nucleotides. RefSeq annotates it as predicted gene, 41989. NCBI's taxonomy places the organism in Eukaryota, Metazoa, Chordata, Mammalia, Rodentia, Muridae. The record is from RefSeq and is a predicted model, not a curated record. The transcript has 3 exons.